AGCCAUGUGAUGAACACAAAGCGAACUAUUCUUUCGCCUUUUACUAAAGAAUACUGGGUGUUUGUUACAAUUAAUGGCAUCCAAUUUUGAAGGGUGUUAAACAUUAAACACCC
This 113-nucleotide small nuclear RNA is filed under the name Ipomoea nil (Japanese morning glory). RNAcentral describes it as "U5 spliceosomal RNA". It matches the Rfam family "U5 spliceosomal RNA". From Rfam's summary of the family: U5 RNA is a component of both types of known spliceosome. The precise function of this molecule is unknown, though it is known that the 5' loop is required for splice site selection and p220 binding, and that both the 3' stem-loop and the Sm site are important for Sm protein binding and cap methylation. The record is from Rfam by way of RNAcentral. Lineage: Eukaryota; Viridiplantae; Streptophyta; Magnoliopsida; Solanales; Convolvulaceae.